GUAGCCCUCGACGCGCUGAUUCCAGAAGUACAACCCUUAUUCCGAGCCGCCGCUCGUAUCCCCGCAGAUCCAUCGCCGAAGUUUUGGAUCUCACUUCCGGCGAACUUCUCCGGUGAAAGUUCGGCGAGCUUUUCCGGCCGUCUCCGUCGUCCCCUGCGAAAACCGUCACCACCUUCAGCUCCAUGGACGCAACCAUCUUCUUCGUUUCCGGCCACCGUGACCUUGUGCGCUACCACCGGCAACCCUGCGCCUGCAGCUAGCCCCGUGAAGCCGCCCUGUGCCCAUGGCCUCACGUCUCGCCACUCGUCCCACGCGUCACGCUGCAAGCAGCAACGCCGCCGCCGUCUGUCGCUGCUCAGCCAUGGUAGUAGACGUCGAGCCUCCCCUGCCCCAGCCCACGUGGCUCUUGCGCUGCACAGCCCCGUGCCACUCAACCGGACGCCUAGGCCCCUGCUGGAGCCUCUCCUCUUCCCUGCGCCUUGCAGCAACUCAGCCUGGUGGUUGCGUUCGUGACGAACAUGAACAGAGAAGUGUGGAUCGUCAACAGUGAAGACCAGGAGCUGAGGACCGACAGUUGCAGUAGAAGCUAAAGAUCAGAAGAUAGAAGCCAAAGAAUUAUGAGCAGUUAUACACUGGGAAUAAAAGCAAGUGCAGACACCGUUUGAUCAUUUUGAACCUACUCAUUAAUGUCAUUUACUUUA
This is a long non-coding RNA of Sorghum bicolor (sorghum), 701 nucleotides long. RefSeq lists it as uncharacterized. The transcript has 3 exons. The record is from RefSeq and is a predicted model, not a curated record. Lineage: Eukaryota; Viridiplantae; Streptophyta; Magnoliopsida; Poales; Poaceae.